This is a long non-coding RNA of Astatotilapia calliptera (eastern happy), 1457 nucleotides long. The record is from Ensembl. NCBI's taxonomy places the organism in Eukaryota, Metazoa, Chordata, Actinopteri, Cichliformes, Cichlidae.
UUACAACCUAUUAGUCAAACCCUUUUGCCCAGAUCUGAAAAAAACAAAGAGCAAGCGGGUUGAUUGAGUGAGAUUAUGGAGAAGUUUGAUGGUCUGCAAGCCAGUUUAUACUGCUGACUGGUGUAAUAUAUUCUGGAUAUUCCUGUUUAGGAGAUUUAUUUGUUGAAUGCAGAUUAACCAGCAGACAAAUACAAACUGGCCGGGCCAUUCCUCAAGGUGCUGCUGCCGCUGAAUCAAAAUUAGUUCAAGGAAGCCGAGGUUCCAGGUGAAAUCUACAACACUAAAGUUAGAGAGCACACCAGCCUCACUUAAUUUUUUUCUUCUUCUUCUUCUUUUUUUUUUUUUGAUGUUUUGCCUCAGGCCAAUUCUACUAAAGAGAAGUAAUUUGGCUUAUCUUAUCCCAGAGACCUAGCAGCUGCUUUUUAUUCUUUUUUGUGAGGUCUUUUUUCUCAUUUAGUCCAACAAAGAUUGUCCUCAUAGAUUGACCUUCUCUGUGCCUGCAGGCCGUUGCCCUCAUGCCAGUAACUAGAUAACACACUCUAUCAGAGAUUUGAGAAAAUCAUUGGGAAAGCAGUGGGGCUGAUAGUGGCAUCAAUCCUAACCUGACACCAGGCUGGGUCAACCAUUUAUCUCUCCACACCGCCUCUGGUCACAACAGCGGCCAUCUUGCUCUGCUACAUCCUUCUUUAAUAACCUUGGCCAUGUCUCUUUACAGACUGAGAGGAUAAGGCGUAGCGGCACUCCUAGUGCCUUGUCUGAUCGCCGCCGCUUUGUUUGCAUUUAAAACCGCCGAAAAUCACAUUCAAACGAAUUCACCGUGUACAUUUCAGAUCGACAAGAUUCUCCAGUACAAGCGCUCCAACGAGUAGACAAGCAAACACGCGCGCGCACGCACAAGAAAGACGCAUCUAACAAGAGGGCCAAAGCUCACAAACUCGUUAGCAUAGCAGUUAAUGGUGACUCCGCUGUCAUUAAUUCCCCACGGUGUUUGACUUAAAUGCUUCUAUAUUGGUGAAGUGAGCGCUUCCCAGAGGCCUCCUAGAGCUGAGAUCAUUGUUUUUCACUUAUUAACAAUGAACUUAUGAUCAGAGCGCCACAAGGCUCCUAAAAAUGCCCCAUAGGAUCAUUACAGUCCCUGUGUGUGUACCUAUGUGUGUGUGUGUUUGAUACCAAUGAGGCCGGCAGAGCAGCAGUGUGUCCGAGGCUCAUCUCGGUGCUCUGUGGCGCAGCCAGGAUGAGUGGGGAGGUUAAAUGGGGCGUCAUCAAUCUCAAUGAAGUGCAAUUAUUUUCUCACUUAUUAAUCAUUGCCGGCUAAUAGCUAGUGGCAAAGCGGAGCCAACCAUUUGUCAAACUUAGCAGAUUUCUGUAAUUUUGUUUCCCCGUUUCCCUCUAAUGUUUGUGUAGACUUUGGCAGAUAUCUAUGGAGGGCUGCAAUAAGUCUGUGCCUCCAAGUAUCU